GUCCACGCCGUAAACGAUGGAUACUAGCUGUUGGGGGUAACCUCAGUGGCUAAGCGAAAGUGAUAAGUAUCCCACCUGGGGAGUACGUUCGCAAGAAUGAAACUCAAAGGAAUUGACGGGGCCCGCACAAGCGGUGGAGCAUGUGGUUUAAUUCGAUGAUACGCGAGGAACCUUACCAAGGCUUAAAUGUAGUUUGACAGGUUUGGAAACAGAUCUUUCUUCGGACAAAUUACAAGGUGCUGCAUGGUUGUCGU
RNAcentral lists this ribosomal RNA (254 nucleotides) under uncultured bacterium. RNAcentral's name for it is "partial 16S ribosomal RNA". It matches the Rfam family "Bacterial small subunit ribosomal RNA", at positions 793 to 1055 of the family's 1533-position model. The record is from RNAcentral.